Molecule: ribosomal RNA, 252 nt
Filed under: uncultured bacterium
Lineage: Bacteria
Description: partial 16S ribosomal RNA
Rfam family: Bacterial small subunit ribosomal RNA
Source: RNAcentral
UACGUAGGUCCCGAGCGUUGUCCGGAUUUAUUGGGCGUAAAGCGAGCGCAGGUGGUUUAUUAAGUCUGGUGUAAAAGGCAGUGGCUCAACCAUUGUAUGCAUUGGAAUCUGGUAGACUUGAGUGCAGGAGAGGAGAGUGGAAUUCCAUGUGUAGCGGUGAAAUGCGUAGAUAUAUGGAGGAACACCGGUGACGAAAGCGGCUCUCUGGCCUGUAACUGACACUGAGGCUCGAAAGCGUGGGGAGCAAACAGG